UACGGGGGGAGCAAGCGUUGUUCGGAUUUACUGGGCGUAAAGGGCGCGUAGGCGGCCUGAUAAGUAGGGGGUGAAAUCCUGCGGCUUAACCGCAGGGCUGCCUUCUAAACUGUCAGGCUUGAGCACAGUAGAGGCAGGUGGAAUUCCCGGUGUAGCGGUGGAAUGCGUAGAGAUCGGGAAGAACAUCAGUGGCGAAGGCGGCCUGCUGGGCUGUUGCUGACGCUGAGGCGCGACAGCGUGGGGAGCAAACAGG
Molecule: ribosomal RNA, 253 nt
Filed under: uncultured bacterium
Lineage: Bacteria
Description: partial 16S ribosomal RNA
Rfam family: Bacterial small subunit ribosomal RNA
Source: RNAcentral